This 175-nucleotide unclassified non-coding RNA is filed under the name plant metagenome. Its description in RNAcentral is "partial contains small subunit ribosomal RNA and internal transcribed spacer 1". The record is from RNAcentral.
AAGGUCAUUAACCAAGGUUUAACGGCGGGGGUACAUCCUGAAACAUCCAAUGGCAAACGAAUUCAGGGUAGUUCACGGCCCAAGUUCCCCCUUUUUCCAACCGUUGCUUGGCACCCCUUUUCGGCCGGUUUAACCCUAGAAUCUCUGCUGUCUGAGUACUAUACAAUAGUUAAAA